Rhopalosiphum padi (bird cherry-oat aphid) is the source of this 2132-nucleotide long non-coding RNA. RefSeq lists it as uncharacterized. NCBI's taxonomy places the organism in Eukaryota, Metazoa, Arthropoda, Insecta, Hemiptera, Aphididae. The record is from RefSeq and is a predicted model, not a curated record. The transcript has 8 exons.
UAUUGUGUCCCGACUCUUUAUCACCUUUUCGCAUUAUCGAACCGUUUCGACGUCGUCGUAUUGUUAUUACUGUAUAUAUCGUUUUUUCCGAAAUUUUUAACGCUUUUCGGCUUUUAAAACCCUUUUACGUGGAUUUAACGGCCGUGUUAUUCGCGUCCGCCGUGUCCUUUUACUGCCGGUAGUACGCCCGUUUUUUACGUAUUUGUUUUUUUUCGAGUCGCUAUCGCGUCAACAGAGACGGCCGCCAACCGACGUUCUCGGCGAUUUCGUUUUCAUCGCCCCGUUUCGUGAUUUAUUACCCAUUAUACUACUGGAUUUGAUGAUGAAAUGAAAAACUUAUCUAUUAAUCUUAACCAAAAUUAUGUUAAACCACUGUUAAAACAACAACACACAAAUGGUCCUACUGUGGAAAUUAUUACAGAACUUCAAUAUAAUGAUUUAAGCUUUAAUAACAAUGAUAUUAAAAUAAAAUAUGAAAAAGAUAGUUAUAUUCUAACUAAAUACCAACAAAUUGUGAAAUGUUUAAAUAUUAUAACACAAAAAAAUAGUGAGACUGUUAUUAUUGCUGAUGGCUUUCUAGGAUGUUGUAAAUUUUUUUAAAUAUUAUGACAGUGUUGAGGCAGUACCACAUAUAUGGUUUAAAAAUAACAAAUACGCUUGGCCUAAACAUUCAAAAUUUUUAUUUAGCCAGAAAAUUUGAAGACAAAAGUUAUGUGUUUUAAUAAGUUUUUCAGAAUUUAGAUCAAAGUCAAUUAUAGCAAUAUAUAAGUCUGAUUUAUCUACCACAGAAGAUGAUAAAGUCAAACAUAAACGUUUAAGAAGACAACAAUAUUCAAGUGUAUCUCCAAACUUGAAAAAAAUAAUAUCUAAUUCAUCACAUAGCAUAACAAAUACCUUUCCACCAAGAUACAAAGUGGUAAAAGAACCUAUUCUAAGAAAAUUGCAUCAUAAAGCUAAGGAUUAUUUAGUUAGUUGUGAAGAUGGUUCUGACAAAGAUACGCAUUGGAAACCUAAAACUAACUCCAUGUUUGAUAAAAUCUCAUGAUAACGAUGAUAGCGGCGAUGAUUCGGCUAAAAUAAAGUGGGUACUUGUCUCCAAGGGAAAAAAAUUGGUCCCAGUAGUAGCUCAAAAUUUAUUCUCCUGCAAGUAACAAUUGUAAAAUUUUAGCUGAUACAAAUAAAAUAAACUCAAGUAAUUAUGAAAUUAAAUUCAUCAAUUCUCCAAUUAGAAAAUAGAUUAUAGAAAAGAAUGACGAUACAACUAUGAUUUAUGAAAAAAGUAUUGAUGAUAAUAAUAUAUGUAUAAGAGAGUACUAUUUGCAAAUUAUAAAUACAAGAAAAAUGAAAAAUGAGGCAUAAAUUUAAAAUUAAAUUUAUUACUUUUUCACUAUUUAAACAUUUGAAUUGUUAGAUUCUACAAGCAACUUGAUGAAACCAAAAUUUGGUCCAGGAAACAAUGUCAUUAAUGAUAAUAAUGUACGUCAUAUAAAAGAAACAGAUAAUGAUUUUCAAAAAUUUAUCACGAACAAUUUGAAAUAUGAAGUUGGUUCAAUGAGUACCUUGGUCCGAUCAAAUUAUUCAAACAUUGAAAUUUUAAUGAAUAUCAGUAAUAAAAAUUUUAUUUCGACAUCAUCAUGUAAUAAUGAAUUCAUUUAAUAUUGAUCAAUUAUUACCAGUUAAAAGUGAGAAUGAAUUAAAGGCCUUAGAAGAUAAUCUCCAAAUUGAUGAUUUUAAAACAUCAUUGAUUACUAAAUUGUCUGUUUUAAUUGAUAACAAUAACUUAGGCAACAGUAUUCGAAGAAUUGUUGGAUGUAUGUUUGACGAUAACAUUUUGUCAUAUUAUUCAUUAUUUGGGUUCAGACAAAAAUUUUCAUUUUUAAGUGUUUCGAGUUAUUGUGUGAUAAUAGAUUCAAUCAGGAAAUGGGUUACAUACAACAGUUUACUGGAUAAAGACAUAGAUAAUUGUUUGAGUACUUAGCUGUCUCAUGCACUUUUUAGAAUAAAAAAAAAAAGAAGCAAAAAAUCUCAAAUAAUUAUAUUUUUAUUAAUGGUCACGCUCACAAGCUGUUAGCCAUAAUCAGUGUUGGUUAUCACUAUUAUUUUGUUAUUAUCAUAAAAUGUUAUUUAGUAUU